Molecule: ribosomal RNA, 474 nt
Filed under: uncultured bacterium
Lineage: Bacteria
Description: bacterial SSU rRNA
Rfam family: Bacterial small subunit ribosomal RNA
Source: RNAcentral
GGCUCAGGAUGAACGCUGGCGGUGUGGAUAAGGCAUGCAAGUCGAGGGGGCCUCUCACUUGGUACAUGAGUAAUCGUGUUUCAAGUGAGAGGUCACCGGCAGACGAGGUAGUAACACGUAGGAACGUACCCCGUAGUCAGGAAUAGCCCAUCGAAAGAUGGAGUAAUACUUGAUACACUCGCGAGAGGAAAGAUUUAUCGCUAUGGGAACGGCCUGCGGAAUAUCAGCUUGUUGGCAGUGUAAAGGACCACCAAGGCUAUGACGUUUAGGAGAGCUGAGAGGCUGACCUCCACCGAUGGGACUGCGACACGGCCCAUACACCUACGGGUGGCUGCAGUCGAGAAUCUUCCACAAUGGGCGAAAGCCUGAUGGAGCGACACCGCGUGACUGAUGACGUCUUUCGGGAUGUAAAGGUCUUUUAUGAGGGAUGACAUAGCGACAGUACCUCAUGAAUAAGGGGCUGCUAAUCACGUG